Molecule: non-coding RNA, 3248 nt
Organism: Dermacentor andersoni
Lineage: Eukaryota; Metazoa; Arthropoda; Arachnida; Ixodida; Ixodidae
Source: RefSeq, a predicted model, not a curated record
AUGUGUAUUUGAGUGUUUCUUUUAUGUUUGCUAUUUUCUUCUAUUUAUUUUUAAGCCUUUUUUAGUUCCUAUAAACGUUUGUGUGUGUGUUCGAUACGAAUGGCUUUGUCCUCUAUUGGGUUCUCGGAGGCUCCGCCUAAGAGAACCAUCAGAACCUUUUGAGUAGACGAACCUUUGCCCCAUAUUAGGGUCAUCACAAAUUGGCGUCCGCGACAGGACAAAGCCGUUCGUUUUGAUUUUUUUUUCUAAAGGCUAGGAACUAUGGCUGCUAGCACACUAGAUCUGUUAACCCUAGCCGAACGCAUGGGGCUAGAAGGUGCGGAGUUGAGGGCAUGGUUGGACGACCAGGAAGCGCGUGCGUGAGAAGAGUGCGCAGCCGAACGCAAGGCUAGGAGGGAGGAACUUGCACUGGAGGAGAGAAAUUUACAAUUACGGCUUAAAGUCACGGAAGCUGAGGGCGCAUAUCUGGGCAAGAAACAGCCAGAAAUUAGUUUGUCUGACUUAGCCACCAUCGCCCAGCGAUUGGGUUUGCAUGGGGCAGACUUUCACAGAUGGGUACAAGACAUAUGGUUGUUAAUACGCGCGAAAUCUCAGAGAGAGAGCGAAAGCCGAGUGGCAGAACAGGCGGCUGAGAGGGCACGCCUGGAGGAGGAGCUUCGCGGGGUACGCCUCAGCAUCAAAUGCCUAGAUUCAUCACUCACGGAUGCUUGCCCCGAAGGGAUAAGAUCCGCGGUUGAGGAUGCAGCACAGCAGUGCAGCGGCGACCGAAGGGUUCCCUCCGACAUGGCCUCAGGCCUCGGCGACCAAAAAGUGUCUCAAGGAGAGACACCUUGUAAUGAUGCCAUUGUAGGCAAAGAUACUGAGGUAUGGUGACAAGACAAGGAGCAUAGUGCUUCCGUACCUCAACUAGUGCAGCGUGAGCACAGCGCAGGCGAUGACUGGCUCGUACAUGGUUCUGGGUCACCGUGCAUGGGCCUGGUUGAGAAAGUUAGAGCAGAGCAUCUCCUACAGGCUAAAGAUAGCACGUUGGAGGGUUCGCACCAUGAUCAAGAUGAACCUGAAAAUAUCAGGGCUCCUGUGGAACCGUGUUUGGUUUCAACAAAAACUAUUGAGGAGUCUUUACUGCCUCCCUCGAAUCAGACAAAAUCUGUUUGUGACACUAUGGGCACUUGGAAGGGCUCAGACCUGUGUACCAAAUCAACACAUGGCUUUGAGGAUUCAGAACACCCUUUGUGUUCUCAUGCACUCAUGUGUGGUUCGACCAUUGACACUGAUGUUGCAACCACACAUUACAACGUUCACUACCUGAGAACGCAGGCAGUGACUUGGUCGACACCAUGUAAAGACAUUAAUGCCUGAAGUGAUGUGGUCACGAACUGGCCAGUGCACUCUGAGUGAGAAGAUGAAGGUCUAGUCCGCUUGAUAUGGGAAAGGGUCACCUAAAGGAGCCGAUGCUUCGCUUAUGGCUCUUCACGGACUUUUGACCUCGGACUUGGUGACUUCAACUUAAUUGUUUAUAGAGCGGGUCGUGAUAGCCUGUGAUGCUACAGUUUCUUUCUUUUCAGUUGUUGUGGUUUCUUUGAAUUGUGUUUUCCUUUAAUGGUUUUAUCUGCGUGCUCAGUGAACUGUGCGUUGGAAACAUAUAGUUCGUUCUUGUGAACGGACCAUGACGGUAGUGUUCCAAGCAUGUGUGAACUAUGUCGCGCACUGAGCGGCAGUCUUUCUUCAGAAAAACUUGUUAAAAAUGGCUGUGGCUUAGCUAAGGUUAAACCCAGGAUGCGAAGCAUACUAGCCUUUAUUUUAGUUGUUGAACCACUGUUUAGCCUGGUGAACUGCUGUUGCUUGGCUAUAUCUGGUUCGGCUAGACGAAGAAACAACUCAUGCGUUACUCUGCUUCGCCUUCAAGAGUGGAACGCGACAGCGUUCCCGUCGACCCGCCAAGGGGUGGAAGACAAUGGGCUACGGCGCAGCGACUACGCGCCCCGCAUUGGACGCGGUGAGCGUCGAGCAACGCAGCGUUCGGCGCGGCAACGAAAUGUGCGCCUAAGCAAGCGACGCACGCCUGAGCCUUAGAAACAGCUCGUUUCUAAGUCAACACCGCAUUCACUAGAGGCGCUUUUGUACCGCUUUGAAGCAUCGUACUCGUGGCUCAGUGGUAGCGUCUCCGUCUCCCACUCCGGAGACCCUGGUUCGAUUCCCACCCAGCCCACCUUGCAAGAGUUGAGCCAAGGCCACCUAGAAACAAGCGCAGCUGCUUGUAUACCGCCGCGACGCUGCGAGCGACGGCGCGAGUUGGAGCCCCGUUUCUCCUCUGUCGUGACGUCAGGGUGUCACGUGAUAUUGAAGGCGACACCGCCGCGCCUGAGGAGCUGGGUUGAGCUCUAGUAAUAUGCUUCGCAUAAAAAAGGGGGCUUGUUUGAUGUGUGGUGCGCGACAUGGUGCGGUGAUCGGGACAGUCAGGAGCAGACGACACUGAGUGCACGCGCGCCGAGGCGGAUAACAUGCUGGAAGAAGGAAAACAAUGACGCCGAAGAGCAUCCGGCACGAGAACGCGUGGCGCAUGAAAAACAACAAAAAGAAGAAAAGCAACCAAUUAUGAAAGACCACGGAGAGUUAGGCAGCCAAUCGGAAAAUGCCAAAUCGGCCAGAUCAGAAGAAAAAGCGUGGUGCACUCAUAGAGAAAGAAAAAGGCUAAGAGCGGACACUCCGAGAAAUCUGGCCUCAGGAACUACGUCAUGGCUACGUAACGAACUAGUGCUCUCACCAAACGCCAGAGGACGCAGCGCAAAAAAAAGAAAAUGUUGUAUUGAAUUCUCCUCAAUCGCUUUACAAUAUAAUAAUUAUACACCCAAAUUUGGCGUGUUUCUGAUACAUAAAAACAGAAUUUAUCGAAGGCACCUUCCGUGCUUUUUGUUCUUCAUUCGUACUGCCAUCAACACCAAUCACCAUUCGUCCAUCGAGAAGAAAUCAACGACACCAGCGGCGUGCCAGCGGGAACGUCUCGUGAACGUCGGCUGCGGCGGUGUUCUUGUGUGUGAGAAAGACCGUGCUGAUGCCAUGCCGUCCGGCGGUCCAAACUACGGCAGCUACUGCUGUGUCGUGGUGCUUUGGCAACGGCAGAACCCAGAAGAAGCCUAUCUUGACUUGGAAUAAAAACAUUGCGAAAACUCUGUCUCUUUGAUACAUAUGAGCGCUUGUACCAAAACACAGAAGACAAGCGCGAUGGAUAAAGCCGUAGUGAAUUAUGA